This 414-nucleotide ribosomal RNA is filed under the name uncultured bacterium. RNAcentral's name for it is "bacterial SSU rRNA". It matches the Rfam family "Bacterial small subunit ribosomal RNA", at positions 355 to 761 of the family's 1533-position model. The record is from RNAcentral.
UGGGGAAUUUUGGACAAUGGGCGCAAGCCUGAUCCAGCCAUGCCGCGUGCAGGAUGAAGGCCUUCGGGUUGUAAACUGCUUUUGUACGGAACGGAAAGCCUCUUUCUAAUAAAGAGGGGUGAUGACGGUACCGUAAGAAUAAGCACCGGCUAACUACGUGCCAGCAGCCGCGGUAAUACGUAGGGUGCGAGCGUUAAUCGGAAUUACUGGGCGUAAAGCGUGCGCAGGCGGUCUUGCAAGACAGUGGUGAAAUCCCCGGGCUCAACCUGGGGACGGCGAUGGUGACUGCAAAGCUGGAGUACGGGAGGGGUAGAGGGAAUUCCGCGUUUAUCAUUGAAAUGCGUAGAGAUGCUGUGGAACACCAAUGGCGAAGGCAUGCCGCUGGGCCUGUACUGACGCUCUUGGACGAAAGCU